This 1335-nucleotide ribosomal RNA is filed under the name Triticum aestivum (bread wheat). Its description in RNAcentral is "partial small subunit ribosomal RNA". The record is from RNAcentral. Lineage: Eukaryota; Viridiplantae; Streptophyta; Magnoliopsida; Poales; Poaceae.
AUGGACGCGGUGCCCGUCGGACACCUGGGCUACGACCAGGUGCUGUCCAUCCUGCGCCUCCUUCCAGCCGAGGCCGUGCUCUCCUUCGCCGCCACCUGCCGCGCCUUUCGCGAUUGGGCCUCCUCCGACGUGCUCUGGGAGGCGCUCUGCCGACGCGACUGGGGGGCACGCGCCGCCGCCGCGGCGCUCGCGGACUGGCGGUGCGGCGUGCCAUGGCGCCGCCUCUACGCCGAGGUCGCCCGACUAAGCGCCCUGCAGGCGCGCCGGCUCCAGGUGAAGGGCACCUCGCCACGGCCCCGUGCGUCGCACUCCAUCAACCUCGUGGCCGGCUGGCUAGUAGUCUUCGGCGGUGGCUGCGAGGGAGGUCGUCAUCUUGAUGAUAUCUGGGCAACAUAUGUUGGAAAUAGAGCUGGAACUAGAUCAUCCAAUGCACUUACCUGGCAGCAAUUGGCCUCUGGUACUCCAAGUGGUCGUUUUGGUCAUUCAUGCAUUCUCGUUGGUGAUGCACUAGUCCUGUUUGGCGGGAUUAAUGACCGUGGGCUUCGUUUGGAUGACACAUGGAUAGGCCAAAUAACCUGCGAAGAACCUUGCAGGAUGAGGAUCUCAUGGAGACUGCUGGAGAUAGGCCCCCUGGCACCAUCUCCUCGUGGGGCCCAUGCAGCCUGCUGCAUAGAUGAUAAGUUCAUUGUGAUUCACGGUGGGAUAGGGGUGCAUGGAAGCCGACUUGGUGAUACAUGGCUUCUUGAUCUCUCUGAUGGACUUCAAUCUGGCAGUUGGCGCCGAAUGGGGGAUACUGGACCUUUGCCUUCAGCUCGUUCUGGCCACACCUUAACUUGGAUUGGUGAUAGGCGCAUGGUUCUUUUUGGUGGUAGAGGAUCAGAAUAUGAGGUGCUUAGUGAUGUCUGGCUGUUUGAUAUUGGUGAUCAUUUGCUGCAAUGGAAAGAGCAAAAGUACGAUUUGUCUAGUAUUCUUGGUGAAUUGCCUUCUCCCCGGGCUGGGCAUUCAGCAACAUUUCUCUUUGGUGGCAAGAUCCUUGUAUAUGGUGGGGAGGACAAAGAAAGACGGCGGAUGGAUGAUUUCUGGAUCUUAGAUAUACCAGCUUUACUUCAGUUUGAGUCAGGUAACAGGAAAGUGGCAAAGAGGAUGUGGAAAAAACUAAGGAUAGAUGGCCAAUCCCCGAAUUGCCGGUCCUUCCAUGGGGCAUGUGUAGAUACUUCUGGUUACUGUGUGUAUGUUUUUGGUGGAAUGGUUGAUGCACUUUUGCAUCCUGCAGAAUCCUUGGGCUUGAGGUUUGAUGGGCAACUGUAUCAAGUGGAGCUUGUGCUGCAUCUCUAG